GGAUCCAAUUUAUAGAUGGAUGAUAAUGGAGCUGUAACUAAUUGGUAGUGGGCCAUUCAAGCCAUUCUAACUUUAUUUUGGGUGGUGAGUGGGUGGUUACAACUACCUGAUCGUGGCCAGCUAUAAUUUGAAGAUUUCUUGGAUCAUGGCUUGCUAUAAUUUGAUAACCACCUGAAUCAUUGUACCGCAGCUACCCACCUUUACUGUUAAGAAUGCCAAUGCACGAAGGUCAGGAGCUGUCGAGCCAUGGGGCUAAUUAUCUAGGUUGGAUUUAUGUUUCAGAAUCUGAGGUUGGUCAAACUGAGCUUAGAAGCUAUUAGCUGGUUGGAUUUAUGCUUCAGGCCCCGAAAUCAGAUAGCUCGAGCUUAGGAACUGGAUGAGUCUUGGAUACCAUAGCUCGAAGGACACAUGACAAGUCUUUCCUACUCAUGAAAGUUGUCUGAGCUCCAUGUUUGAGGUCAGAUAGUGAUAGAAGUCAUUGCUACUUGAAAAUGGACUAUUGCCAAGCUUAAACUGAAAGUCGGAUCAUGCCAAACUUAGGAGCAAGCCUUUGAUGUCGAUCAGAGAUUGGGAAUCAGUUCAGUGUUGCAUUUUGGACUCAACUGCACUGGAUGCUAGAUGGUGCUUCUAAGAGCUCGAUGAUGAUCGACCCACAAAAACUUAGGUGAGAACCAUUUUUCCUUCAACAUAUAUCCCACCUUCACUGGCCUAUCUGGAAGUAGCAGUGAGCGUCGAUCAAUUCAAUCUACUGGUCCAAUAGAUGAAAAAAUUUGAUGGAGGUAGUGUAGGUGAUACAGCAACCUAACCAUGC
RNAcentral lists this long non-coding RNA (811 nucleotides) under Elaeis guineensis (African oil palm). RNAcentral's name for it is "long non-coding RNA (EGUI_LNC069674)". The record is from RNAcentral. Lineage: Eukaryota; Viridiplantae; Streptophyta; Magnoliopsida; Arecales; Arecaceae.